UAUUGCAUCUAUAGACUGAGCUU
RNAcentral lists this microRNA (23 nucleotides) under Drosophila mojavensis. Its description in RNAcentral is "Dmo-Mir-9703_5p (mature (guide))". RNAcentral also lists the same sequence under 1 other name. The record is from RNAcentral. Lineage: Eukaryota; Metazoa; Arthropoda; Insecta; Diptera; Drosophilidae.